UCGAAGACAACCAGGAUGUUGGCUCAGAAGCAGCCAUUCAUUCAAAGAGUGCGUAAUAGCUCACUGGUCGAGUGGUCAUGCGCCGAAGAUGUACCGGGGCUCAAACGCGCCACCGAAGCAUGGGAUUCGCGCAAGCGAGUGGUAGAGGAGCAUUGAAUCAGGGCAGAAGCUGGAGCGAGAGCACGAGUGGACUUGAUUCAAGAGAGAAUGCCGGUAUGAGUAGCGAGAGGCAAGCGAGAAACUUGCCCGUCGAAAGCCUAAGGUUUCCUGGGGAAGGUUCAUCCGCCCAGGGUAAGUCGGGACCUAAGCCGAGGACGGAAGUCGUAGGCGAUGGACAGCAGGUUGAGAUUCCUGCACCGCCUUGAGAAUGAUGCAAUGACACAGAAGGAUAGCAUGAGCCGGGUGAUGGUCAACUCGGUUUCCAAAGCGAGGGCGUCUGGUAGUGAAGUACGCCAGACACACAGCCUGAGCCGAAGAGGGAGCGAAAUUCAAGUAGCGAAGCAUGCGAUUUCACGCUGGCGAGAAAAGUUGCUGGUAUAUCGAAGAGGCGCCCGUACCGCAAACCGACGCAGGUAGGCGAGGUGAGAAUCCUAAGACGAACGGGAGAACCCUUGUUAAGGAACUCGGCAAAAUGACCCCGUAACUUCGGGAGAAGGGGUGCCGAUGGAAACAUCGGUCGCAGAGAAAAGGCUCAAGCGACUGUUUAGCAAAAACACAGGUAUCUGCGAAAGCGAGAGCUGACGUAUAGGUGCUGACACCUGCCCGGUGCUGGAAGGUUAAGGGGAAAUGUCAUCGCAAGAGAAGCAUAGAACCGAAGCCCCAGUAAACGGCGGCCGUAACUAUAACGGUCCUAAGGUAGCGAAAUUCCUUGUCGGGUAAGUUCCGACCCGCACGAAUGGUGUAACGAUUUGAGCGCUGUCUCAACAGGGGGCCCGGUGAAAUUGAAGUAUGGGUGAAGAUGCCCAUUACCCGCGACUGGACGGAAAGACCCCGUAGAGCUUGACUGUAGCCUGAUAUUGGAUUUCGGUAACGGAUGCACAGGAUAGGUGGGAGGCUUGGAAGCCAGGACUCCGGUCUUGGUGGAGCCGUCGUUGGGAUACCACUCUUCUGUUGCUGGAAUUCUAACAUGGCGCCGUGAAACCGGUGAAUGGACAGUGUCAGGUGGGCAGUUUGACUGGGGCGGUCGCCUCCGAAAGAGUAACGGAGGCGCCCAAAGGUACCCUCAGAAUGGAUGGAAACCAUUCAAAGAGUGUAAAGGCAGAAGGGUGCUUGACUGUGAGAGUGACAACUCGAUCAGAUACGAAAGUAGGGCUUAGUGAUCCGGCGGUAUUGAGUGGAAAAGCCGUCGCUUAACGGAUAAAAGCUACCUCGGGGAUAACAGGCUGAUCUCCCCCAAGAGUCCACAUCGACGGGGAGGUUUGGCACCUCGAUGUCGGCUCGUCGCAUCCUGGGGCUGAAGCAGGUCCCAAGGGUUUGGCUGUUCGCCAAUUAAAGCGGCACGCGAGCUGGGUUCAGAACGUCGUGAGACAGUUCGGUCCCUAUCCAUCGUGGGCGUAGGAAUCAUGAGAGGAGCUGUUCCUAGUACGAGAGGACCGGAAUGGACGCACCACUGGUGCAACUGUUGUCGUGCCAACGGCAUAGCAGGGAAGCGAAGUGCGGAUGGGAUAAACGCUGAAGGCAUCUAAGCGUGAAGCCCACCUCGAGAAUAAGAUUCCAGGCAGCAAUGCGAGAGACCCCUGGAAGACUACCAGGUGAUAGGUCGUCGGUGGAAGCGCAGUAAUGUGUGUAGCUUGACGAUACUAAUCGGUCGAUAGCUUGAUUU
This 1822-nucleotide ribosomal RNA is filed under the name human gut metagenome. Its description in RNAcentral is "bacterial LSU rRNA". It matches the Rfam family "Bacterial large subunit ribosomal RNA", at positions 1083 to 2925 of the family's 2925-position model. The record is from RNAcentral.